UGAAUUGUAUAAUUUUUUUAAUUUGCGCUUUUGAAAUGAGGAAUGUGCUGUUUCAUAACAGAAGUUUUCUUCAUUACACUUUCUACAGAAAAUCAAGCCACAGUAAACAACAGUACUGAAACCUGGAGAAUAAAUGAGGCUUACACCGUCAACAAACUUGCCCUGACUUAUCUAUUACAAACAUUUACACAGUAAAUACACAAAUAAGUGACAAAGAAAAUAAGCAUUAUAUGACUGCUAAGAAAUGAAAAAAAUAACUCACUCACAGAAAAUCUACAAACUGUGCACAGUUAUAUUUUACACUUCAUUUACUUUCAUGUAAAUUGACUGGUGCUCACAGGCCUUGAUUGUAAAAGAAUUUAAAUCUCUGGGUUUAGCUAUUAUGACUUGUGGAAAUUUCAAUUUGAAUUCAUGUUAAAGUGGCCAUCAGUAAGCUACACCACAUGUUACUACUACUCUCUGUGAGGCCAUAAAAUAGAGAGGAAGCAGAUGUAAAGGACACAGUUUUAGUGCCUGUGGUUAAUAUUUGACUGUUAAAGUGGAAAAAAAUACACCACAAAGAGGUUACUGCAGAGACCAGAGAAGUUGAAAUCGAGCUAAAUGCUUGUUUUGACACACAUUUUGUUCAUUUGACUUUUAAAAUGUAAUUUUAAAACUUAAUGAGCAGUGCGUUCUCAUUAUCAACAAAAUUAUCUGUGCUUACCGCUGUUGAGGUUAUUACUCGAGAAAUAAAUAAACAUAUUACACAGAACACCUUUCUUAGAAGUAAUGCAGUAGUUUACUAAAAGUUAAUUUGUUACAUUAUUCAUUAUGUUACUUUCAUGUUACUCUGAAAAACGACCUGAAACAAAUUCUCUCAUAAUUACUUUUUAACAAUAUAAACCUAAAGGCUUCAGCCCCACAUCCAUCACUGGUCCUUACAGAGUACAGAAAACAUCCUCCCCAGUGUUUCUGUGUUGACUGAAUGCUUAACCUCAACAGCUAAUAAUGAACUCAGAUGUUGGAAGUUUAACAGUGUACGAUCUCUGAUUGGCUUCCAUGUGUGCAGAGUCUAUAGCAGGUAUCGAGCAAGUCGGUGACAUUAAUGAACUGCUAAAGGUUGCUAUGGCUUAUGGUGCUUAAGAAAUGUGUUGGUCCAGUUUUCACUGAAAACAGAAAAAGAGGUCGAAGUUAAAGCAAGAACUGAAUUAUGAAGAACAGAAGAAAAUGUAAAACACACAGUGGUCUGCAUCUAGUGAAUUUAUUCAGAAAUUAAUGAAAGUUAUUUGACAAAUUACAUUUUUGCAGAAAGCAUCUACACUUAUUAUGCAAAGAACACAGAUGCACUUUUGAUUUGUCAUUAGUUUCAGUUUACUUCAGUUAAUUCAGUCAUGUUAGCUUAUCGAGCUCCCAACCCAGUCCAGCCACAAAAGGCUCCAGUGAACACCUCACUAAUGAUGAGUCGGCUAAAAGCUUGAAGGGAAAAAAAAAAGAUGCUUUUGAAAAUAUAAAAUAUGCUUACAUAACUCCUCCCUUGCCACUUGCACUUGCACAACUCCUGCUAGUUUCUGUUUCUUAAUAUAAAAUUAUAAUUAUAAACAUUUUAUAGGAUCAUGUGGGAAUACGGCAUUAAAAAAAUAAUAAUAAUUUUCAGAAGAGAAUGAGGCCAAAAACUAUUAUUUAAACAUUUGAUGGUCUCAAUAACAAAUGUAAGCUAUGACCAGUGUAUGACAAUACACUACUCCACUAUACACUACUUUAGUGUUUACUGUAAAAAGUUGAAAUCAGCUUAGAAGUAAAUGAUUCUAGAAAAUAGCUUCGUUUUCUAAAACAUAAUAAGAGUCUACUAACCUUUUGUUGAGUUAAUGUUUUCUCCAGAAAAUAAUCCUUUUUUCCUUUUACUGUUGGUUCCACCAAACUUUUUUUUAAAAAAAAGAAGUUUGAAAGAAAUCUCUGUUGUUAUUGGUCAGUUUUUCCUGCGUUGGAUCACUGCUGCAAAAUAAUUUACAGUACAGACAAAUUACAGCAGUGAAUGUACACUCUCCCACAAUCCUUUGCUUUGUGCAGUAAAAUAAUUUAAAAACAUUUUAGAGUAUCUUAUACAUACAUAUCCCUGUAAAAAUACUGUUAAAUUUACUAAAACCAUUUACAGUGUACUAUGGCCGAUUAUUAAGCCCCCCCCCCAAAAAAAGAGAAUAAAGACAAAAUUUCGAGAUUAAAGUUGUUUCAAGACAAACUGCUAUGCCCUCCACAACAUGCCGUGUUUUUAUGAGUUAGUGAAACAUCCUAUCAUGUCUGUGAUGCAACAAACAUCCUCUUUAUUGCCUGUUUUAACCAUCCUCAUUAUGGAUAAACCUGCAUCUGUCCAUUACCAGACUUUUCAUUUUGUUCAACUCCACUCUUUCAAAAUGCAGCUGUCUGCACCAGUUUUUCUUUUCAGUGUCUUUAACCUGAUCAACACAUAGUGCAGAGUCUAUAGCAGGUAUCGUACAAGUUAGUGCCAUUUUACUCAAUCAGAUGGAGUUAACGAACUGCUGGUCCAGUUGUCACUGAAAACAAAAAAAGUAGUCGAAGUUAAAGCAAGAACUGAAUUAUGAAGAACAGAGGAAAAUGUAAAACACACAGUGGUCUGCAUCUAGUGAAUUUAUUCAGAAAUGAAGCAACAACACGGAAAUGCUGGGUACAUACAUGUAAUACAUGUACAUACAUGUAAUAUGAGGCCCAGUAACUAAUUUCAAAGAGAUGUUUGGGACUUAAAAGAAAGGGUAUAAAUUCAGGGUGGUGUUAGUCGUAUUAUUAUAAUUAUUAUUAUUAUUAAGGGGUAUUUCACCCCACACUGCGGGCAGGUGGGUGGGCUGAGUGGAAAUCCAAUUCUGUAAACACAAAAACUCAAGAACAAAGUGGUGCAGGAUUUUGAAACUGAUAGCAAAGGUGCUGCUACUGAAAAUCUCAAAGGAUUUCACAUCUCUGAAGUUUACCAAAAAUCUCGUGAACACAAGUUGAUUUGUUUAAAUACACCUUUGACAAAUAACAGGCAAUGAGGCAUCAUCACUGUUUGGUCAUGUAUGCUGUCAUAACAAUGGAAGUAAGCAUUUGCUGUGAUUAAGAGAUCGUUUUUACAAUAAAACUUAAUAAAUAAAUAAAUAAAUUAUGUUUGCUUCUGGUGACAUAGAUGUUUCAUGGGUGACACAAGGCUGUUCCACGACUAAAGAUUCUACUGUAAAAUGU
Molecule: long non-coding RNA, 3207 nt
Organism: Astatotilapia calliptera (eastern happy)
Lineage: Eukaryota; Metazoa; Chordata; Actinopteri; Cichliformes; Cichlidae
Source: Ensembl